Molecule: ribosomal RNA, 276 nt
Filed under: Triticum aestivum (bread wheat)
Lineage: Eukaryota; Viridiplantae; Streptophyta; Magnoliopsida; Poales; Poaceae
Description: partial small subunit ribosomal RNA
Source: RNAcentral
AUGGGGUGGAGAUCUGCGGCCGGCCGUCUGCUGGCGAUCCUGCUCGUUGUGCACCUCCUCGUCGCCUCCUCCCACGCCGCCCGCUUCACGAGGAGCUACAGGAUGAUGGCCGUGGAGGCUCGGACGUUCCGUGGCGCUGGUGGUUCAGCAGAGGGCAACAGGAGGGAGAGCGACGCGAUCGUGGACGAGAUGUUCGGGAGGAUGGCGCUGCAGACAACCGACUACCCGGGUUCAGGCCCUAACGAUCGUCACACUCCCAAGGCGCCCGGGACAUGA